CAGCCGCCAGCCGCCAGCUUCGAUUAGGCUGUGCGGGAGGCGGGAGGCGGGAGGCUAAA
RNAcentral lists this unclassified non-coding RNA (59 nucleotides) under Thiocapsa roseopersicina. Its description in RNAcentral is "GRIK4 3 prime UTR element". Lineage: Bacteria; Pseudomonadati; Pseudomonadota; Gammaproteobacteria; Chromatiales; Chromatiaceae. The record is from RNAcentral.